UGGCUCAGAACGAACGCUGGCGGCAGGCUUAACACAUGCAAGUCGAGCGCGUAGCAAUACGAGCGGCAGACGGGUGAGUAACGCGUGGGAAUCUACCCAUCACUACGGAAUAACUCAGGGAAACUUGUGCUAAUACCGUAUACGCCCCUCUUUAAAAGGCCAGGAUUAUUAGGUGCCUGGUUUUUUAUGGGGGGGAAAGAUUUAUCGGUGAUGGAUGAGCCCGCGUUGGAUUAGCUAGUUGGUGGGGUAAAGGCCUACCAAGGCGACGAUCCAUAGCUGGUCUGAGAGGAUGAUCAGCCACAUUGGGACUGAGACACGGCCCAAACUCCUACGGGAGGCAGCAGUGGGGAAUAUUGGACAAUGGGCGCAAGCCUGAUCCAGCCAUGCCGCGUGUGUGAUGAAGGCCUUAGGGUUGUAAAGCACUUUCACCGGAGAAGAU
Molecule: ribosomal RNA, 439 nt
Filed under: barley rhizosphere bacterium LJ51
Lineage: Bacteria
Description: bacterial SSU rRNA
Rfam family: Bacterial small subunit ribosomal RNA
Source: RNAcentral